AUGCACGCUGGCGGCGUGCCUAAUACAUGCACGUCGAGCGAACAGACGAGGAGCUUGCUCCUCUGACGUUAGCGGCGGACGGGUGAGUAACACGUGGAUAACCAACCUAUAAGACUGGGAUAACUUCGGGAAACCGGAGCUAAUACCGGAUAAUAUAUUGAACCGCAUGGUUCAAUAGUGAAAGACGGUUUUGCUGUCACUUAUAGAUGGAUCCGCGCCGCAUUAGCUAGUUGGUAAGGUAACGGCUUACCAAGGCGACGAUGCGUAGCCGACCUGAGAGGGUGAUCGGCCACACUGGAACUGAGACACGGUCCAGACUCCUACGGGAGGCAGCAGUAGGGAAUCUUCCGCAAUGGGCGAAAGCCUGACGGAGCAACGCCGCGUGAGUGAUGAAGGUCUUCGGAUCGUAAAACUCUGUUAUUAGGGAAGAACAAAUGUGUAAGUAACUAUGCACGUCUUGACGGUACCUAAUCAGAAAGCCACGGCUAACUACGUG
RNAcentral lists this ribosomal RNA (496 nucleotides) under uncultured bacterium. Its description in RNAcentral is "partial 16S ribosomal RNA". It matches the Rfam family "Bacterial small subunit ribosomal RNA", at positions 29 to 507 of the family's 1533-position model. The record is from RNAcentral.